CAAACUAAAGAUGGCGACCGGCGCACGGGUGAGUAACACGUAUCCAACCUGCCGAUAACUCGGGGAUAGCCUUUCGAAAGAAAGAUUAAUAUCCGAUAGUAUAUUAAAACCGCAUGGUUUUACUAUUAAAGAAUUUCGGUUAUCGAUGGGAUGCGUUCCAUUAGUUUGUUGGCGGGGUAACGGCCCACCAAGACUACGAUGGAUAGGGGUUCUGAGAGGAAGGCCCCCCACAUUGGAACUGAGACACGGUCCAA
RNAcentral lists this ribosomal RNA (254 nucleotides) under uncultured bacterium. RNAcentral's name for it is "partial 16S ribosomal RNA". It matches the Rfam family "Bacterial small subunit ribosomal RNA", at positions 74 to 334 of the family's 1533-position model. The record is from RNAcentral.